UACUAGGAUUCCUCCUUGUAACCAACUAGGAGUCCUCCUUGUAAUCGACUAGUAAUCCCACCCCUUGGAGUAUAUAAAGAAGGGCAGGGGUCCCUAGAUCAGUAGGCCAAGACCUCAUAGAACUACAAUAGAGGAUCAAAUCCUCAACACCAAACAACACCCAAGCGCAGGGCUCAAUAUACAACACCCCAAACAGGACGUAAGGUAUUACGCUACUCUGGCAGCCCGAACUUGUAUAAAUCCAUGUCUUCUUUCCUUGCAUUUACCUUCGAGUUUCAGGUUCGACGAUUCCCCAC
Molecule: long non-coding RNA, 296 nt
Filed under: Setaria viridis
Lineage: Eukaryota; Viridiplantae; Streptophyta; Magnoliopsida; Poales; Poaceae
Description: long non-coding RNA (SVIR_LNC008109)
Source: RNAcentral